Molecule: long non-coding RNA, 956 nt
Organism: Cynocephalus volans (Philippine flying lemur)
Lineage: Eukaryota; Metazoa; Chordata; Mammalia; Dermoptera; Cynocephalidae
Exons: 3
Source: RefSeq, a predicted model, not a curated record
GCCACACCACCCCUAGUGAAAUCCUGGCACCCAGAGAGCACUCCUUUCAGCCAGAGAGCCCAGAACCAGCCGUUGUCCCCUGGCAAAAGAGGCCCAGUGCUGAGCCCUGGGCAUGUGUCUCCAGACAUCGCUACCCCUCCUCCUCUUGUUAGUUUCCCUUCCCAACAGAAACCACUUCUUUUUACCACCAAAACCAGGUUGCAUCCAAAAGUCUCUCACAAGCUUAAAACAGAAAACUGAAAAAUUGAGAACCAUUACAUAGAAGAGCCCACAAAAGCUGCAGCAGCACCAGGGGUGAAGAAGCAGCGUCAGACCCAGGUUGGCAGGACACAGGAAAGAACUCCCCCAAUUCAUGCAAGAGAGAAAAUGAAACUCUCCUCCGGCCUCUAUCAGGGAAGCUAAUUUUUUCCUCCUCUUUCCUGAAAGUUUCCCAAAUCCCAUGACUCUGAUUUCCAGAUCAGAGAGUAAGGUUUUUAUUUUUAUUAUUCCUUACACUUUGCAAAUGGAGAGUCCCUAAAGGAACAUUGUGAUGGGCUAAUGUUGUGAGCCUGUUGUGAGCAAGGCCUGGACUUACAUGCUGCAGAAGGAAUUCAAUCACACCUGCUCGGUGAUCUGUAAGCCCCAAAGGCUUUAGACCCCUGAAUCUGGGCAUCAUCCCAGCACUGAGAUCCAGUUGCAUUACGCGGACCAGCAGACACAGCACCAGAGCCCAGGCCCGUGCAGCUGCUUCUUCUAAAUUCAACUCUGCGAAAAAUUACUUUCCAGAAAAUAAGUGAAACCUGAUGUCUUCUCCGGGUGGUUAUUUUUGCGCCUAUGAAGUCAAUAAAACUCUCCAGAUUUAUUAGAAAGCCCUGCUGUGGAAGACAAGACCACUUCCUAUUCCCUAGCGGAAAUGUGUGCCUUUCCUUUCUGCAACCUUCUGACCACAGAUUUUAAUUUUAUUCAUUUCUGUUAUU